GGCGCCUGUCGCAUUGGUGGGAAGAGAAGGUUGGGCACACAGAAGAAGAAUAGACCUGUACUAACGGAAGCUCAUUCCUUCUUUCCUAUAUCACAGCGUCACGUUGAGAUGACAAAAUUACCACAUUACCCUCAGCCCAUCCAAGGUUGCCAGGCCAAUACAUCGAUGGUCCGGGGUUGAAGGGUUACAAGUCCCAGGAGGUGUCAACCUCAUUACCCCAGAGUGGAUCAACCCAGCCCAGGGGGCUCUCUGAGUAUUUAGAGGAGCGCGCUGGUCCCACAAGGGUUCUGAUUCAAAUGCCAACAUCUGUCUGGCGACGGCACCCAGACGGACCAGGACACCUUCAUCAGAGGUAUUCUUCAGCUGACAGAAGCCACAAGGUGGACGAAAUAAUGGAAGAACUGGGUUCCCAAAGAAACAGGCAUCACAGCUUUCCAUUCUGAUGCCGGUGCAGGAGUCCUUCGGCCCAUCAGUAUCGAUGUCCAAUUUGCUUAAAUCUGUUUUGAACUUGACUGUAGAAAUACUCUUAAGGUGUUUUCUACCCACUUCGAGACACACAAAGCAAAAUAAGAAAAGAAAAACCGAAGCGCUGUGACUUCACAUCUGAAACAGCAAGAGCAACUUUUCUAAAAAAUGUUUUUUUUACCCCCUUGCUAUGACAAAUG
This is a long non-coding RNA of Xiphophorus couchianus (Monterrey platyfish), 665 nucleotides long. RefSeq lists it as uncharacterized. Lineage: Eukaryota; Metazoa; Chordata; Actinopteri; Cyprinodontiformes; Poeciliidae. The record is from RefSeq and is a predicted model, not a curated record. The transcript has 5 exons.